UUAAACUGAAGAGUUUGAUCAUGGCUCAGAUUGAACGCUGGCGGCAGGCCUAACACAUGCAAGUCGAGCGGUAACAGGCCCUUCGGGGUGCUGACGAGCGG
This 101-nucleotide ribosomal RNA is filed under the name Halomonas daqiaonensis. RNAcentral describes it as "16S rRNA. Bacterial SSU". It matches the Rfam family "Bacterial small subunit ribosomal RNA", at positions 1 to 98 of the family's 1533-position model. The record is from RNAcentral. Lineage: Bacteria; Pseudomonadati; Pseudomonadota; Gammaproteobacteria; Oceanospirillales; Halomonadaceae.